CUCAACUUUGUAGUACAGGAAUCUAUUAGUCGAAUCAAUAGAUAACAUAAAGUUACAUGUCUGAAGGUGCAGUAGCUUUUCCAAGUGACAAAUUUCCCCAUCUUCCUAUAUACCAAGGAAAGACUGGCUGUGGAAUCGUCUUUCUGCUUAUCUCCAGGACCAACACCUAGAACCUCUUCAUUAAAGGUGAACAACUGCCUGGAAAAGAUCAGUACCUAUACCAAUUCCUGGGCAAAAGGCUAAUGAUCUGAUGUGAUGGAUGGUGGCUUAGAAGGAGUAAGAAUGAAAUAUUGCAUAUAACACAAUUUAGAAAGAUAA
This is a long non-coding RNA of Canis lupus familiaris (dog), 318 nucleotides long. RefSeq lists it as uncharacterized. Lineage: Eukaryota; Metazoa; Chordata; Mammalia; Carnivora; Canidae. The record is from RefSeq and is a predicted model, not a curated record. The transcript is spliced from 3 exons.